This 78-nucleotide transfer RNA is filed under the name Azoarcus sp. RNAcentral's name for it is "tRNA-Leu". Lineage: Bacteria; Pseudomonadati; Pseudomonadota; Betaproteobacteria; Rhodocyclales; Zoogloeaceae. The record is from RNAcentral.
GCCGGCCUGACGGGAAUGGGCAUACCUCCUUGCCUUAGAAGCAAGGGCUUCCCGGUUCGACUCCGGGGGUCGGUACCA